GGAAAUGUCUGUCCAAGCAGAAAGCCUGAAGACGAGGCAAAUGCUUCUUUUCUUAAGGACAAGCUGGGAUGGGGAGGGAAAUAAUAGUACCGAAGAUCCUGAUGUCACACUGCCGAGAAAAGCUUCUAGUGAGAAAACAGCGGCCCGUACCGCAAACCGACACCGGUAGUCGAGGAGAGAAUCCUAAGGUGAGCGAGAGAACUCUCGUUAAGGAACUCGGCAAAAUGA
This 228-nucleotide ribosomal RNA is filed under the name Enterococcus faecium. RNAcentral describes it as "partial 23S ribosomal RNA". It matches the Rfam family "Bacterial large subunit ribosomal RNA", at positions 1500 to 1725 of the family's 2925-position model. Lineage: Bacteria; Bacillati; Bacillota; Bacilli; Lactobacillales; Enterococcaceae. The record is from RNAcentral.